AAGUGCCUUGAGACAAGGUGCGCGUUGGUCGAUGUCGUGCCUCCACGGGUUUGGAAGUUACGGGCCGGAGGGCCCUGGUCCGGUUGCAGCUUUCUCCCGGGUUCCUCCCCGCCGCUCCUCCGGUCCGUGGGUCCUCUGCAGCCUGCCUUCCCCACCCCGGGCCGCCCCUGUUGCUCGCGUUUCUCUACCCCAAGUAUUGCACUUACUGAAGAGCUCCUUGGAAGGUUCUUGAGAAGAUAAAGAAGGUAGUGGGGACGGACCUCCGGAGCUGCUCCAGCCCUAAAUGGCAGCAGAAUCAAGAAAGUCGUUAGCCCCUUCCCCAUCUGACCAAGCUCCUGAGGAAGACCUUGUCAUCGUCAAGGUAGAGGAAGAUCAUGGCUGGGACCAGGAAUCCAGUCUGCAUGAAAAUAACCCUCCCGGCCAAGAGCUGUUCCGCCUGCGCUUCAGGAAGUUAUGCUACCAGGAGACGUUAGGGCCCCGAGAAGCUCUGAUCCAACUCCGCGCACUUUGCCAUCAGUGGCUAAGGCCGGAUUUGAACACCAAGGAGCAGAUCUUGGAGCUGCUGGUGCUGGAGCAGUUCCUGACCAUCCUGCCUGAGGAGCUGCAGACGCUGGUGAAGGAACAUCAGCUGGAGAACGGAGAGGAGGUGGUGACCCUGCUGGAGGACUUGGAAAGGCAGAUUGACAUACUAGGGCGGCCGGUCCCAGCCCGUGCACGUGGACAUGGACUCUGGGAGGAGGUGGUGCGUUCAGAGUCUGCACCAGAGCUUCCAGAUGCUCCGCUCCGAUCUGUGGCAACCCAGCACAAAUCUCCAGUGCCCCAAGGGCCACAAGAGAGAGCCAUCUCUACUUCUCAGAGUCCUACCCCUUCCCAGAAGGGAAGUCCUGGAGACCAGGAGAUGACAGCAACACUUCUCACAGCAGGGUUCCAGACUUUAGAGAAGAUCGAAGACAUGGCUGUGUCCCUGAUUCGAGAGGAGUGGCUUCUUGAUCCAUCCCAGAAGGAUCCCAGUAGAGAUACUAGGCCAGAGAAUUACCGAAACAUGUUCUCCCUGGGUGGUGAGACCAGGAAUGAGAACAGGGAAUUAUCUUCGAAACAGGUAAUAUCUACUGGAAUCCAACCACAUGGAGAGACAGCUGCCAAAUGCAACGGGGAUGUUAUCGGGGGUCUUGAGCAUGGAGAAGCCAGAGAUCUUCUGGGCAGAUUAGAGAGGCAGCGGGGAAAUCCCACCCAGGAGAGACGACAUAAAUGUGAUGAAUGUGGGAAGAGCUUUGCUCAGAGCUCAGGCCUUGUUCGCCACUGGAGAAUCCACACUGGGGAGAAACCCUAUCAGUGUAAUGUGUGCGGUAAAGCCUUCAGUUACAGGUCAGCCCUUCUUUCCCAUCAGGAUAUCCACAACAAAGUAAAGCGCUAUCACUGUAAGGAGUGUGGUAAAGCCUUCAGUCAAAACACAGGCCUGAUCCUGCACCAGAGAAUCCAUACUGGGGAGAAGCCGUAUCAGUGCAAUCAGUGUGGGAAGGCUUUCAGUCAGAGUGCGGGCCUUAUUCUGCACCAGAGAAUCCACAGUGGGGAGAGACCCUAUGAAUGUAAUGAGUGUGGGAAAGCUUUCAGUCAUAGCUCUCACCUCAUUGGACAUCAGAGAAUCCACACUGGGGAGAAGCCCUAUGAGUGUGAUGAGUGUGGGAAAACCUUCAGGCGGAGCUCACAUCUUAUUGGCCAUCAGAGAAGCCACACUGGGGAAAAACCCUACAAAUGCAAUGAGUGUGGGAGGGCCUUCAGUCAGAAGUCAGGCCUUAUUGAACAUCAGAGAAUCCACACUGGAGAAAGACCCUAUAAAUGUAAAGAAUGUGGGAAAGCUUUCAAUGGGAACACGGGCCUCAUACAGCAUCUGAGAAUUCACACAGGGGAGAAGCCCUAUCAAUGUAAUGAGUGUGGGAAAGCCUUUAUUCAGAGGUCAAGUCUCAUUCGGCAUCAGAGAAUCCACAGUGGAGAAAAAUCUGAAUCCAUAGGAGUUUAGGAACAAAGCACAAUCGUAGUUUGGGCAUUAUUCCAUAUUAGAGAAACCACAUGCUGGUGAGGGUUCUUUCAGUGUAGUAAAAAGAAAGUGUGUCAUCACUGCAACCUCACCAGGGUCAGAACAGAUCGUGGUGGUGGAUUAGAGUAGCUCUUCAGUAGUCUGGGCCAGUGCCUUGAUGAGGUGGGUUAGCUUGACUGUCCGGGGAGGUGUCUGAGGAAGUGGAGCUCCUGAUGGCCUGAUGUAUCCUUUAGAAACAAAAUAGCAUUAGAGCAAGUUGCUUGUCAUGGAGGCACUUAAUUUUUUCUUUUGAGGAGUAGUUGUAGGUUUUGAGAGAGGCUACUCCUGGUUCCUCUGCUUCCUUCCGUCUCCUGUGAUUCCCUUCCCACAUUUACCUCCCUGAGGUGCACUUGUGCUGCACAUCUGAUCUGAGAAGCCACUUUAGAGUUUGAAGCAGCCUCUGUGUGAAAUUUAUUUUGUACUUAGCUUCCUGAGAACCUAGUUCUAGGGAAAUUUUUACAGACACUUAAUGUAUUUAUGCUUAAGUGUGCAUUUUGUUUUAUUCUGAUGUUCUGAUAGUCAGUGGAAAACCAUAUUCCCACGCAAACUCAGAAUGCUAUAUUUCUAACAGCACUGCAGCAUUUUUUCUUCAUAUCUCACCUUCCCUGACUCCAGUGAGUCAUUGAGCGUCCAUACGUAUCCUUCACCACCCCCAGCCCCCGUGCGUGUGUCCGCAAAGGAGGUGAUGGUUGUGGGAAUGAAGCAGAGAAAGAGGUGAGUGGAGACUCAGCCUGGCUGCUCUUCAGCUCGGGUGGUUGUACCUUUUGGUGACUUGUGGCUCUCCUUUCCACCUUCCCACGGUACACUGUGGUACACAGAGGUGGUGACACUAUCCUAGUCACUGCAUCACAUGGGAGAAAGGGGAGACAGAGGUGCUUGAAGAAGACCUAAAAAUCCUUACAAAGAAUGUACACACAGCUCGCCUGGCCCAUUACAGUACUGCCCUCUCAGGUUCUUACCAGUCUGCACAAACCCCUGACAGGACAGUCUGUCACUCCUGUCGUCACCCUGCUCCCACCUCGUCAGAUGGCCUUAGCCCCUCACCCUUCAUUCUCCAUCUGUUUCUUGCCAUUAGCUCUGUGUGUCCCCAUGGCGAUCUGUUGAAUACUUCCCCUCACAGCUCCUCAUCUUCUAGAUUCUGGUGAACUCCGUGUGUAAUCCAGCAGACAGAGUAUCUUAACUCAUUAUCACCAGGCACUAUCUUUCUUGGAGGCUUUCAGUGUACCAAAGGAUAUUCUGUAAAGUGACAAGGUUGGGUUAAAUAACACACCAGACUCUAUGCAUCCAAACAUGGUUUGUCCUUUAAAUUCGGCACUUCUGGUUAGCCCGGUAGCGCUACCGCUCCUCCAAAUAUUUGGAAGACUUGGACCCCUGAGUAACGUCUCAUUUUUGACCAUUACCCACUUGUUCAUCACAUUUGGACUGGAGUUACUUUUGGCUUUUUUCCAAAGUCAGCUUUCAGAAUUGGAAUUGAUUCCACUAGUCCUAUUCAGGAGACUAGGACGCACGCCAGGAGAAGUUACACAACUUCACACUGACUGUUCUAAACAGAAGCAACACUUACUAACAUAUAUUGAUGUUUUUCAAAAGGUCAUAAAAUCUUUCAUCAUAAAGGUCUGCCUUUUGGGUCAUGACUUCCUUCUCUAUAAAAUCCCUUCUCUGACCCACUGUGGCCCACCCUGAUCACUAACAACAUCACCCCUGUUUCACUGAGUGAGUGAUACCCAUCUGUCAUUUGUCAUUGUGGCUUCCUUGGUUAACUUUUUCAGAACAGUGCUUUCCAUUAUCCUUUGUUUUCUUAUUCUCCUUUUUUUUUCUUUUGGCCUAUAGGUUCCCUUGCACUUGAAGGGAAUUCCAUUACUCAUUCCCUUGUACUUGAAAAUUCAAGAAACCAGAAACAAAUCUGGUGGUUUCUAGAUCCUUGCUGUCUGCUUCAAUUGUGCCUUUACCCUCUGUAGGAUGCCAGUUCUGCCAGUGCUGCCUCUGUGCAGAUACUGUUUGGGAUGGGUACACCAUCAGAGGGAUAAUACGUGCACACAUCCACACAGUCCUCCCACGUAGUUCCGAGGAGCACUUGUCUUCUAUUCUGGUAAAAGCUGUCAGAACAACAUACUAAAAUGCCUGUAAGCGUACCAGCUAACAUCUCUCUACUCACAGUAAUGUGUAGUCAUGCUACUUAAAUCUAUAAUUACUAAGCACCUGGCAGGAAUUCAGAGAAAAGAAAAUAUGCCUAGAAAGAUUAGUGUGAUGCUGGGAUGAAUAAGGAAAGACUGUGACGGGCACCUGGGUGGCUCAGUGGGUUAAGCCUCUGCCUUAGGUUCAGGUCAUGAUCUCAGGGUCCUGGGAUCGAGCCCCACGUCGGGCUCUCUGCUCAGCGGGGAGCCUGCUUCCCCCUCUCUCUCUGCCUGCCUCUCUGCCUACUUGUGAUCUCUCUCUCUCUCUCUCUCGCUCGCUCGCUCUCUGUCAAAUAAAUACUUUAAAAAAAAAAAAAAGGAAAGACUGUGACUUGAAGGAACUAUCAAGGUUGGUUUAGCCCAUAUACAGAAAUGGCCGCAUAGUGUAAGAAGGUAGAAAAGGCUGUUGUUUCUUUGGGGGCACAUGUAGAAGUCCAUUCUUGGUCUCCACUUCUCACUCUUUGUACUAGAAUGUUGUCGAUCCAUCUUUAUGAUCUUAUCUUGAGCUCCUGAGUGAUGUGUGCUAAGUUCCUUUAUAUCCUGCAGAUUCUAUUUUUAUGCUCUUCAUCUGAGAUGAACUGUUCACCAAUACUUUCUUCUCCAAUCAUGAUCUCAUUUUAGGGCCCAGCAUGAUAAAGUGGUUCUUCUGUAACUCUGCAGCCAUUCAACUUAGUCCUAGAAGACAUGUCUUAGGUUUCAAAGAUUUCUGCCAUUGAGCAAGAUGGCAGCACUAGAAUGUGGUGGCUGAUUCCCAUACAGAGUAGUUAGCUUUACUCUUGGUCCUGAGCCUCUAAAUAGUAAUAGCUGACGUUUAAUAAGCACUUACUGUGUGCCAAGCCAUUUGCUAAGCAUUUCUCAUGGUUCUGAUAGAUAGUAUAUCCUACAUUUUACAGAUGAGGAAAUAGGCUUAGAAGGGUAAGUGAGUAGACCAAGGUUAUAGAGCUGGGAAGUGACAGAGUAGGGACUCUGCCCUACAGUGUCAGAUUCUCGAGCCUGUGCUGUUGACCACUGUGCUACCAUGUCUCUAAUGAACACCCUGACCCUGGCCAGCCAUCUGAAAAUUCGGUAUCCCUGGCCAUAAGAGCUACUGGGGAAGGGAACGUAGAGUAUAGUAUAGUACAGAUCCAUUGCAAUUACUGGAAAAUUGGUUUAAAAAUGUUAUUUUGAUUGAUACUUUUGAUGUUUGUAGUACUAGAAAGUUAAAUGGUACACAUAAAACAUGUUUAAAAGAGUACCUAAAAAAAAAAAAAAGUAACUCAGAGGAUUAAGCAGUAAUGUACAGAUUCAAGUAUAUUUCUCCCUAAACUGCCCCAGGGAACUAGAACUGUGGUGGGAAAUUAAAUAUCCAUGUGCCAUGCCAGGCCAGGCAUAUGGUCAUUUGGGAUGACAGU
Molecule: RNA transcript, 5639 nt
Organism: Lutra lutra (Eurasian river otter)
Lineage: Eukaryota; Metazoa; Chordata; Mammalia; Carnivora; Mustelidae
Gene: ZKSCAN8
Gene name: zinc finger with KRAB and SCAN domains 8
Exons: 7
Source: RefSeq, a predicted model, not a curated record